Molecule: ribosomal RNA, 324 nt
Filed under: uncultured soil bacterium
Lineage: Bacteria
Description: bacterial SSU rRNA
Rfam family: Bacterial small subunit ribosomal RNA
Source: RNAcentral
AGAUUGAACGCUGGCGGCAUGCCUAACACAUGCAAGUCGAACGGGAGUAGCAAUACUCUAGUGGCGGACGGGUGAGGAAUACGUAGGAAUUUGCCCUUAAGUGGGGGAUAACCCGGGGAAACCCGGAUUAAUACCGCAUGACCUCGAAAGAGCAAAGUGGGGGAUCGCAAGACCUCACGCUUUUGGAGAAGCCUACGUCGGAUUAGCUAGUUGGUGAGGUAAUGGCUCACCAAGGCGACGAUCCGUAACUGGUCUGAGAGGAUGAUCAGUCACACCGGAACUGAGACACGGUCCGGACUCCUACGGGAGCAGCAGUGGGGAAUA